This 700-nucleotide ribosomal RNA is filed under the name uncultured bacterium. RNAcentral's name for it is "bacterial SSU rRNA". It matches the Rfam family "Bacterial small subunit ribosomal RNA", at positions 8 to 720 of the family's 1533-position model. The record is from RNAcentral.
AGAGUUUGAUCAUGGCUCAGAGUGAACGCUGGCGGCGUGCCUAACACAUGCAAGUCGAACGAGAACGGGUUUAGUUUACUAAACUGUCAGCUAAGUGGCGCACGGGUGAGUAAUGUAUAGUUAACCUGCCCUCUAGAAAGGAAUAACAGUUGGAAACGACUGCUAAUGCCCUAUAUGCCCAUAAUACAUAAGUAUGCUGGGGAAACGCUUUAGUGCUAGAGGAUGGGACUGUAUGGUAUCAGAUAGUUGGUGAGGUAAUGGCUCACCGAGUCAAUGACGCCUAACUGGUUUGAGAGGAUGAUCAGUCACACUGGAACUGAGACACGGUCCAGACUCCUACGGGAGGCAGCAGUGGGGAAUAUUGGACAAUGGGGGCAACCCUGAUCCAGCCAUGCCGCGUGAGUGAAGAAGGCCUUCGGGUUGUAAAGCUCUUUCAGAUGCGAAGAUGAUGACGGUAACAUCAGAAGAAGCCCCGGCUAAUUUCGUGCCAGCAGCCGCGGUAAUACGAAAGGGGCAAGCGUUGUUCGGAUUUACUGGGCGUAAAGGGCACGCAGGCGGUCUUGCCAGUCAGGGGUGAAAGCCCGGGGCUCAACCCCGGAACUGCCUCUGAUACUGCAGGACUAGAGACUAGGAGAGGGUGGUGGAAUUCCCAGUGUAGAGGUGAAAUUCGUAGAUAUUGGGAGGAACACCAGAGGCGAAG